AAUAUGAGGAGCUGUGAUAUAAAACUUCUGGAGGCAUGAGGUCUGCUUCACUUGAUUGUCUUGCGCACUUGAACUUUCUUCAGAUGGCUCUUUCUUCCUGGGAGCCGGUUAAAUUGCUGCUAGGAAACCGAGGGGAUAACAUGGCAGCCUUUUAAUCUCCAAACACUUCUUUGAUGCUCCUCUGGGUUGUUGUCUGCAAUGGCACUGAAUUGUCAAACUAGAGCACCCGCUGCCUUUCCCCCUUAAUUCACAAGGUUUCUGGGUCUGCCUCACAGAAGUGACACUUAUGAAGAAGUAACCAUUGUACUUGGGGUCUUGUGAGCCACUUCAGAGAAGACCUCUGACAAUAUGUAAAACAAGUGUUAGGGGAGGAGAAGCAUUGCAAAGAUAAGAGUCUUGCGCUGGAAUAAGAUCAAGAACGUCUCCUUUUGUGUGUUUUACCACUACCCUGUGCUUAUUUCCUUUCAUCCUUUAUAGUUCAUCAAAGGAAAGCUUUCCAGGAAACAGGAGAGCAUAGCCUGAUUUGGCCUUUGGGCCAAAAGAAGAGCAGAACUGACAAUUAGCGAUGAGAGAAACCAGCCAUGUGAGAAAUCAGAUCAUGUAAAAACAAAACAAACAAGCAAAGCCAGAGACAGCAAGCCAGCAAGCAACUGUGGUGGUAAUUAUCUGUGGAUCACCUCAGAGUCAACCAGAUAGGAACAUUGCUUUGCAGAUUUGCCCCUCCCCAGUCAAGCCCUGUCCUCAUAGAUUCAGAAAAAUGAAGUACAUUUUUAGAAAUUCUCCCAUGUAUUUGGACUGGAUACUUUCUCAGAGGAUCAGGAACUGGAAGUAAUUUCUUUCAAACCAUCUAUAUACAGAAACUCACCACACUGAUGAAUUGGAUGUUAAUACCACCCCUGGUUUGUUUAUUCAUCAUAUUUGUAUCCUGUUCUCUUUUUGGGAAUUUCCUCAUUUUUUUUCUUCUCCCCAUUUUUAUCCUGAGUGCUGUGUGAGAUAGGUUAGAGGCUGCAACUGGGACCAGUUUACUGAAUUGUAAGUUCAGUAAGACAUCAGAGGAUAAGGAUGAUGCAGAGGAUGAUCCAGAACAGAGGAAGUCUUGUUGACAGACUGAUAAGUGAGCUCCAGUGCCACAGUCUAUUCCAAGCACUUCCUUGUGAUUCAGCCCUUGCCUAAGAGGCAUGUUUUCCCUUUGCUUGCCUUUCUUGCACUUCCCCCUCAGUUGUGCAAGACAGCCCUGCAGUUCCAGGGCUGCAAGCCUUGCUACCCACUGCAGCUUUUGUGCUUCCUUGCACACACGCCUUUCCCCGGGGAUCUUGCUGCUCUACAGGUAGCGCCUUUUGGGUCCUGUGGCCAAAUCUGGACCUCCAGGGUUCCUCACCCCACCUCUACUCUGUUACCCCAUCCACUGAUCAGCAGCUGUCUUCCAAGUGGGUGAAGGUUUCCACCACAUCCUAAAAGACUUAGUCACUGGCAGUAGGAUCUUAAUGGUAAAAUAUUCAGGCACUUUGGCACAGCUCCUUUCACUUUCUCCCCCAUCUGGAAUGCAGCAGCAGAGCAUCUAUCUCUCAAAUGGAGUGCAGACCUUGAAUUGAGAGAGGUCCUGCACCCCUCGUGCACCCAGCCUCACUCUGGAACUCAGAUGCAUCAAAAGGCCACAGAAUUGCCACCAGGGCUCAAGAAGUAUGGAUACACAUGACUGAACCAUUUUCCCCCAGAAGAUAUUUGAAGAACUGGGUAAAAUAAAGGAAGCUUGCAGAGAACUGAAGACAUACUCAACUCUUCUAGAACAUCAAAAGGCACAAGCGCCAUCAAGGACAGGCAAUCUAGUGCCUUCCAUGUGUUUGCACAAUCACUUGACACAGGCAGUUCUGACUAUGCUGAAUACUGGGUUGCCAACCUCUGGCCUGCACACUGGCCCAGUUCUGACCAUCAAGGAAACCAAGGGGUCAGAUCCAGACACUGUCAUGCUUAGAACAAACCCACUGAACACAACAGGACUUAAGAAGGUCAGGACUUACUAGUUAGAUGGAUUUCAAUGGGUGUGCUCUAAGUAUGCGGCAACCUGCCCGCCAGGCAUGGCUCUUGGAGGCCUUUUGUGUGCCCCAUGCAAUUACUGCUGCUGCUGCCUUUGCCAAUUUUACUGCCUACCCCCCAAGACUGCCACAGCUUCCAGUCUGUCACAGCUCUUCCAGUCUGCCACAGCUCUUUGGCAAGUCACAGAAGUGUAAUUUUCUUUGGGAGGGCACAAAACACUAAAAUAUGCGACUUAACAUCAAAUGUUUCUUUUUGCAAACCUCUUGACAGAAACACCUCCUCAGAACUUAGUCUGUGCUGGAGAAUAAAUUUUCUCUCUACACCCAAUUGUUCCAGUAUCCUUACAAAUCCUGAAUCCACCUGUCAAGGCAGUGGGUGGAUUUGCACAACACGACAAAGGGGUUUUUUUUAAAUGCAAGCUGGUCUGUCUUGUUGUCUGAACCCCGUCAGUGUGGUAUGUUUGGUUUUGAGAAACACA
This is a long non-coding RNA of Varanus komodoensis (Komodo dragon), 2512 nucleotides long. RefSeq lists it as uncharacterized. The record is from RefSeq and is a predicted model, not a curated record. The transcript is spliced from 3 exons. Lineage: Eukaryota; Metazoa; Chordata; Lepidosauria; Squamata; Varanidae.